CAGUCGCCGCGGGAAUACGUAGGGUGCGAGCGUUAAUCGGAAUUACUGGGCGUAAAGCGUGCGCAGGCGGUUAUGUAAGACAGGUGUGAAAUCCCCGGGCCUAACCUGGGAACUGCGCUUGUGACUGCACAGCUAGAGUAUGGCAGAGGGGGGUGGAAUUCCACGUGUAGCAGUGAAAUGCGUAGAGAUGUGGAGGAACACCGAUGGCGAAGGCAGCCCCUGGGCCAAUACUGACGCUCAUGCACGAAAGCGGGGGGAGCAAACAGGAUUAGAUACCCCCGUAGUCCCUGUCUCUUAUACC
This 301-nucleotide ribosomal RNA is filed under the name uncultured bacterium. RNAcentral describes it as "partial 16S ribosomal RNA". It matches the Rfam family "Bacterial small subunit ribosomal RNA", at positions 509 to 808 of the family's 1533-position model. The record is from RNAcentral.